UGAAGAGACCUGAGCUCGGGCUCACCCUCACCAAGCUUCACUGUUGGACUCUCACUCACUACAGCAAGUGUGUCUUCCUGGAUGCGGACACUCUGGUGCUGUCCAAUGUCGAUGAGCUGUUCGACAGGGGAGAGUUUUCUGCGGCCCCGGACCCCGGAUGGCCAGAUUGCUUCAAUAGCGGGGUAUUUGUCUUCCAGCCUUCUCUCCACACGCAUAAACUCCUGCUGCAGCACGCCAUGGAACACGGCAGCUUUGAUGGGGCAGACCAAGGCUUACUGAAUAGUUUCUUCAGGAACUGGUCGACCACAGACAUCCACAAGCACCUGCCGUUCAUCUAUAACUUGAGUAGUAACACGAUGUACACUUACAGCCCUGCCUUCAAGCAAUUCGGUUCCAGUGCAAAGGUCGUCCACUUUUUGGGGUCCAUGAAACCUUGGAACUACAAGUACAAUCCACAGAGUGGCUCGGUGUUGGAGCAAGGCUCAGCGUCCAGCAGCCAGCACCAGGCGGCAUUCCUUCAUCUCUGGUGGACGGUCUACCAGAACAACGUGCUGCCCCUUUAUAAAAGCGUCCAAGCGGGGGAAGCACGCGCGUCUCCUGGUCACACACUUUGCCGCAGUGAUGUGGGGGGGCCGUGUGCGGAUUCAGCCUCUGGUGUUGGAGAGCCGUGUGAAAAUUCAACACCCAGUGCCGGCGUGCCGUGUGCAAAUUCACCACUGGGUUCUAACCAGCCUGCUCAGGGCCUUCCGGAGCCGACCCAGAUAGUGGAUGAGACCCUGUCCCUACCUGAAGGACGCCGUUCAGAAGAUAUGAUAGCUUGUCCUGAAAUUGAGACUCCUGCCGUGAUAACGUGUGACCCACUGUCCCAGCCUUCCCCUCAGCCUGCAGACUUCACAGAGACUGAAACCACCUUGCAGCCAGCAAAUAAAGUCGAAAGUGUCUCAUCCGAGGAAACCUUCGAACCAAGCCAGGAACUCCCUGCUGAGGCUGUCAGGGACCCCAGUCUGCAGGAUGCACUGGAGGUGGUAUCCAAAUUCUUCCCCUUGCCCAAGGCUCCCGGUGGGGGCCAUCCACCGUCACUGAGGUCAACUGCAUGCACACAACAGCUGUUAAUUUUUCAGCCUCAUUUAACAAAAAAUAAGAAUCGGCUUCCCUCUU
This 1158-nucleotide small RNA is filed under the name Pan troglodytes (chimpanzee). Its description in RNAcentral is "processed transcript". The record is from RNAcentral. Lineage: Eukaryota; Metazoa; Chordata; Mammalia; Primates; Hominidae.